RNAcentral lists this ribosomal RNA (465 nucleotides) under uncultured bacterium. RNAcentral describes it as "partial 16S ribosomal RNA". It matches the Rfam family "Bacterial small subunit ribosomal RNA", at positions 28 to 507 of the family's 1533-position model. The record is from RNAcentral.
GACGAACGCUGGCGGCGUGCUUAACACAUGCAAGUCGAACGGGAAGGCCCUGCUUGCAGGGUACUCGAGUGGCGAACGGGUGAGUAACACGUGGGUGAUCUGCCCUGCACUUCGGGAUAAGCCUGGGAAACUGGGUCUAAUACCGGAUAGGAGCCAUUUUUAGUGUGAUGGUUGGAAAGUUUUUUCGGUGUAGGAUGAGCUCGCGGCCUAUCAGCUUGUUGGUGGGGUAAUGGCCUACCAAGGCGGCGACGGGUAGCCGGCCUGAGAGGGUGGACGGCCACAUUGGGACUGAGAUACGGCCCAGACUCCUACGGGAGGCAGCAGUGGGGAAUAUUGCACAAUGGGCGCAAGCCUGAUGCAGCGACGCCACGUGGGGGAUGACGGCCUUCGGGUUGUAAACUCCUUUCGCUAGGGACGAAGCUUUUUGUGACGGUACCUAGAUAAGAAGCACCGGCUAACUACGUG